This 1419-nucleotide long non-coding RNA is filed under the name Mytilus galloprovincialis (Mediterranean mussel). Lineage: Eukaryota; Metazoa; Mollusca; Bivalvia; Mytilida; Mytilidae. The record is from RNAcentral.
GAAACAACCUGUUCUCUAUAUUUCUUGAUUAUUUCAACCAAUCAGAUUUGAGCAAAUAUACGCCGGUUGUUCCAGUGUUAUGAAAUUGAGAUUUUCAAGGAUCUAUCUAGACUGAGUAUAUACAUGGAGAUUGAGUUUUAGGGACUUCCAAAUUCACUUAAUAGCAACGUUUUACCAUGCUGAGCAAUAUUAGUAAUCAAAGUUAUGAUUUAAAUUGUGAGUGUAACUAUGGAAACGACUACAUUUGUGAGCAAAGUGAAUUGUUUAUUCCAUCUGCAUGGAUAACCAUCACACAACCCUGUUUGACAGUUGAAUGCGCAGUAGUCAACAUAUUUAUCAUCACAAUACUUUUACGUCCUAAAAAUAGAACGCCAUCAACUAUUCUGUUGUCAUCACUUGCCGCUUCAGACUGUUUGACAACAAUAUUAGCACCAAUACCAUAUCUUAUUGGAUACACAUUUAACUUUAACAACCUCAUAAUUGCCGAAAAUUCAAUUUUGGGCGGAUGGAUAUGGCCACAACUAUACUCCAAUUGUAUUAUAUUGACGCCACUUUCCCUGACCUCUUCAGGGUUUCAUAUGAUGUCAGUUUGUUUUACGUUUAUGUUAAACAUUCAAAAAGUAAUUGCUCUGCAAUUUCCACUCUGGACUAUGAAGUAUAUAGGAAAUAAGGCAACAUUCUUAGCGAUAUGUCCAUUCGUGCUUAUCGUCCUUGGCUUUAAUACAUGGCGUACAAUUACAGGAAAUGGAUAUUUUUUCGAAGGGAAGAACGGUGUUUGCUGUAUAGUUAAAUAUAAGAGCCAUAUAAAUGGUUCCUUAUUAUUUAUGAAUAUGUGUCUUAUGAUAAUAACGCUUGUGAUAAUAUUAUGCACGAUAUACAUUUGUUGGAAGCUAAGAACCCUUGGGAAAAACAUUCAGAUUCCGAACGUUAGAAAAAACAGUAAGAAGAUUCCGAACGUUGGUGAAAACAGUCUGACGACUCCUAACACGAGGGUAAACACUCCGAAGAUUCCGAAUGCAGAGAAAAACAGCCCGAAGACUCCGAGCGUUAGGGAAAACAGCCGGACGAUUCCUAACGCUAAGAGAAACAGUAUGAAGAUUCAGAACCCAAAGGCACAAGCAAAGAUUCGCCGGUCUGCUUUCAUAGUGAUAUUUAUAUCUGUGGUAUUUAUACUUUCGGAAGUGCUUAAUUACUUAUGGACAAUCAACCAAUCAGGAUUAUUGCCAUUCAGUCAUUCUCUAGACCAGCUAUGUGACUCUUUAAUGAUAUUAAGUUGGCAAUUCGGAUUUUCUGUAAAUUUCAUUGUCUAUUUUAUAAUGAGCGCGAAAUUAAGGAAAACACUGCAGGCAUUUCUUGUCAAAAUAUUUCGCUGUACUAAAAGAAAGAAAGAUGAAAACAUUUUUUCAAACACCAUAACAU